UACGUAGGGGGCGAGCGUUGUCCGGAAUUAUUGGGCGUAAAGAGCUCGUAGGCGGCUUGGCAAGUCGGAUGUGAAAACUCCAGGCUCAACCUGGAGCCGCCAUUCGAUACUGCUAUGGCUAGAGUCCGGUAGGGGAGUGUGGAAUUCCCGGUGUAGCGGUGAAAUGCGCAGAUAUCGGGAGGAACACCGAUGGCGAAGGCAGCACUCUGGGCCGGCACUGACGCUGAGGAGCGAAAGCGUGGGGAGCGAACGGG
RNAcentral lists this ribosomal RNA (254 nucleotides) under uncultured bacterium. Its description in RNAcentral is "partial 16S ribosomal RNA". It matches the Rfam family "Bacterial small subunit ribosomal RNA", at positions 524 to 776 of the family's 1533-position model. The record is from RNAcentral.